RNAcentral lists this ribosomal RNA (490 nucleotides) under uncultured bacterium. Its description in RNAcentral is "partial 16S ribosomal RNA". It matches the Rfam family "Bacterial small subunit ribosomal RNA", at positions 28 to 507 of the family's 1533-position model. The record is from RNAcentral.
GAUGAACGCUAGCUACAGGCUUAACACAUGCAAGUCGAGGGGCAGCAUGGUCUUAGCUUGCUAAGGCCGAUGGCGACCGGCGCACGGGUGAGUAACACGUAUCCAACCUGCCGUCUACUCUUGGACAGCCUUCUGAAAGGAAGAUUAAUACAAGAUGGCAUCAUGAGUCCGCAUGUUCACAUGAUUAAAGGUAUUCCGGUAGACGAUGGGGAUGCGUUCCAUUAGAUAGUAGGCGGGGUAACGGCCCACCUAGUCUUCGAUGGCUAGGGGUUCUGAGAGGCAGGUCCCCCACAUUGGAACUGAGACACGGUCCAAACUCCUACGGGAGGCAGCAGUGAGGAAUAUUGGUCAAUGGGCGAGAGCCUGAACCAGCCAAGUAGCGUGAAGGAUGACUGCCCUAUGGGUUGUAAACUUCUUUUAUAAAGGAAUAAAGUCGGGUAUGGAUACCCGUUUGCAUGUACUUUAUGAAUAAGGAUCGGCUAACUCCGUG